CAAUAGCGUAUACUAAUGUUGUUGCAGUUAGAAAGCUCGUAGUUGAACUUCUGGUAGGAGUGUCCCGGCCUUUUUGUUUUUACAAAUUGUAUGCUGUGUGACAUCUCUGGCCAUCCUUCUUCUUUGUUUAAAGAAGAUCUUUCACUGUAAAAAAAUUAGGGUGUUCAAAGCAAAAGUUUCUUUGGAAUAUAUUAGUAUGGGAUGAUAAGAUAGGCUCUAGAUGCUAUUUUGUUGGUUUGCACAUUUAGAGAAUGAUUAACAGGGACAGUUGGGGGUAUUCGUAUUUACAUGUCAGAGGUGAAAUUCUUGGAUUUUGGAAAGACGAACUACUGCGAAAGCAUUUACCAAGGAUGUUUUCAUUAA
Molecule: ribosomal RNA, 363 nt
Filed under: uncultured eukaryote
Lineage: Eukaryota
Description: partial 18S ribosomal RNA
Rfam family: Eukaryotic small subunit ribosomal RNA
Source: RNAcentral